CAGUAUAAAAUAUAGGCGGAUGUUUCAAAAUGACAGAGAAGACGUUCUGUGCAGGCAAAUAACAUGAAGUCUCCUGUCCCUGCAUUAAUCUUUGUACUGGUUACAUUUGUGCAUUUCAACUCAGCCUCCUCAGAAUGGACUGGAGAUUUAAACGGAAAACUCGCUUUUUGGGACACAGGCGUCAACCUGGAGGGUGACGAUCAGACGCCAUGUUUUCAUUUUUGCGCCACGGACGGAGACUGUCCUGAUCCGUUGAGGUGCACUGUGAGCGGGUGUGGGCAUAUAUGCACAGACCCAAACCAAGACAAAUUAUGGGAUUUUGAUUUCAAUAUAAAAAAUAACUCGACGGAGCCGUGCGUCGAUAGCUGCAUGACUGACGACGACUGCCCGGACAACAUGAACUGCCUCAUGAGCGGAUGUGGACGCAUGUGCUUGGACGCAAGCCAGAAUUUUCCUUUCCCUAUUGAAAUGACUGGACUUUGUGGUUCAGCCUCUAACCUGGGAAUCAAUACACUGAUGCCGUGCAUUAAUCUGUGCUACGACGAUGAUGACUGCCCCGAAAGCAAGACGUGCGCCAUCCAGGGAUGUGGACGGAUGUGUAUGGACCCAACCACUGAAGGAACUGGACUGUGGGAUCUGGAUUCCGAUCUGGGAAAAGACCCGUUGGAUUCCAUUGGUUCAGAUUUGACCUCGGGAAUGGGACUCAAUCCGUGGGAUUUGGACCCUACUCUGGGAAAAGACCCGUUGGAUUCCAUUGGUUCAGAUUUCACCUCGGGAAGCGGACUCAAUCCGUGGGAUUUGGACCCUACUCUGGGAAAAGACCCAUUGGAUUCCAUUGGUUCAGAUUUGACCCCGGGAAUCGGACUCAAUCCGUGGGAUUUGGACUCCACUCUGGGAAAAGACCCGUUGGAUUCCAUUGGUUCAGAUUUGACCCUGGGAAUCGGACUCAAUCCGUGGAAUUUGGACCCCACUCUGGGAAAAGACCCAUUGGAUUCCAUUGGUUCAGAUUUGACCUCGGGAAUCGAUGAUGUAUUGCCUUUGCCUUUAGAAGCCCCUAAACUGUGUGGCUCAGAUUGCAAUCCGGGAAUGGACCCAUUGAUACCAUGUCUUAAUUCGUGCUCCAGCGAUGACGACUGCCCCAACAGCAUGAAGUGCUCCGUCCAGGGAUGUGGACGGACGUGCACUGCGUCAACUGACGGAGAGCCUCCUCUGGGGGAUUUGGACUCCACACCGGACAGUGAACCCUGGAACCCCUGUGUUGAUCUGUGCUCUAAUGACGACCAGUGUCCCGAAAACAUGAAGUGUGUGAAGAAGGGAUGUGAACGGCGGUGCGUGGCCUCAAACCAAGAUAAGAGUGAUGAGUGGUCUUGGAAAUUUGACGAAGGAGAAAAUCCUGAAGGAUGGGAGUGGAGCUCCGACGAGGAAACUGGUUUCAAGGAGUCAGACAUCGAGAAGCUGUGGGUUUGGGAUGAGGAUAAGGACAGUGACAGUUCCACUGCAGACCUUUUCAAAAAGCUUGCGCAGUUAAGGAACAAUUUGGAAGAUUUGGAGGGAAGUGCCACUUCAGGAUUUCUAGGUGAGUUCUUACAAAGAUGUAUUUUGCUCCUUGGCUAUUGGCCAGUCUAUAACUGUGCAACUCCAAUCACACCCAGCAGAUGGCAGUAUUGGAACGUUGUAAUAGAAAAGCCCUGACACUGGCGCCACAGUUUCUUCAGCCUCAUAUGGGUGCAAACUGAAGGCGUG
Salarias fasciatus (jewelled blenny) is the source of this 1743-nucleotide long non-coding RNA. The record is from Ensembl. NCBI's taxonomy places the organism in Eukaryota, Metazoa, Chordata, Actinopteri, Blenniiformes, Blenniidae.